Labeo rohita (rohu) is the source of this 408-nucleotide long non-coding RNA. RefSeq lists it as uncharacterized. The record is from RefSeq and is a predicted model, not a curated record. NCBI's taxonomy places the organism in Eukaryota, Metazoa, Chordata, Actinopteri, Cypriniformes, Cyprinidae. The transcript is spliced from 3 exons.
GCUUUCACAAAGUGAAUCAGGAGGAUAGUCUGAGUAAUAUUUUUAGCGAUUAAAAACUUAAAUUGUGCUCUGUACCUCACACCAAACUAUUGUAUUUCACCUGCGGUGGCAACGCAGCAUCAUUUGGACUACUUUUGACCUGGCCAUGUACCCUGCCCUCUUCAUACAGGUUGUCAUGAUGUCAUUACAGAAGGCAGCCGAAGAACAACUUGGGACACCUCCUGAAAAGACAGUGACUCACACGCACACACACACACACACACACACACACACACACACACACACUAAAUAUAUAAUUAAUAUAAAUCAAUAUGUUCUUGUUACUGUUUCCCAUUAUUUGGACACAUUUUGAUGCUUUACUGUGGAAAUUAUCAUAUCAAUAAAGCCAAUUUGAAAAUAAUUGAAUUG